Long non-coding RNA from Cercocebus atys (sooty mangabey), 5811 nucleotides. RefSeq lists it as uncharacterized. The record is from RefSeq and is a predicted model, not a curated record. The transcript is spliced from 4 exons. NCBI's taxonomy places the organism in Eukaryota, Metazoa, Chordata, Mammalia, Primates, Cercopithecidae.
GCCAAAAAAGAACCUCACAACCUACUACUGAAACAAGUCGCACUGCGGAUCUCAGGUUUUGGAGAUGAACCACCAGGCAGACAUUUUGGGGAAACCAAAGAACAGAGACGGGUCAGGAUACAACUUUCAGCCUAGGAGUCACAUUAUUCGGCAUGAGAGAGUAUAGACACAACCAUCAGUAACCAGGGACAGAUGUGGGUUAACCUCAGGAUGUUCAGAAAAAUCAAAGAUGGAGAAGGAUGCAGCAACGUUUGGACUUUCUACCUUCUGAGGCAUCCUCAUCCAGCUGCCAGUUCUCAGGAGCAAGUGACAGCAGGAAUGCCUAUAACCUGGAUAAGUGCUACCAGCCAGGCCAGCCUCAGGCACUGCAUCUGAACUUGGCCUCAACAAGGAGGCUAAAGGGAAGGAAUCUGAUCACAGUGGCAGCAUCUGGACUCUGUACCUGCUUGCCUCAUCCCUGGAGCUACUCAUUAAAGUGCUACUCCAGCUCCCAGAGGCUAUGGAACAUAAAAGUUCCACCUACGGUGCCUGCCUCUCCUGCCUCCCCUUCUAUCUCCUCCACGUCUUCCAUCUGUGCACACCUGAGAGAGUAAGACCAACCUCUCCUCUUUCUCCUCGUCCUCAGCCUACUCAGUGUGAAGAUGAGGAUGAUAAGCUUGAUCAUGAUCCACUUCCAUUUAACGAAUAGCACUUCAAGGAGAGAAUAUCUUCCUCAAUUCUCAAACAACACACGUUUUUUAAAAGUACUGUUACAUAUACAGAAAAUAUCUCAAGAAUUUCAAAACAAUACUUAUUUCCUCUUAUAUCUUCACCUUCAGAGUGUGUCCUAGGAAGAAACGCUCAACACGUGUUUUUGCUUUAUUUCCAUGGCUUGUGUAAGUAUUCCAAGUCACAAUGUAUAUUUAACAAACUGGUCUUCCAGCUCCCUUCACAGAAUGGUUGCUUUCUUCUGCAGAGGUUCAACCAUUUAGUACCAUUCAAGCACAUUCUCCACGCCAUACAAAUGCCAUCCCAGGAAGAUGUUUAAGAUUUCUCCAUGAAGUGGGAACUUGGAAGUUUAGAAUUGUUCCAGUUACCAACCAGGUUUUAGAGACCAAGAAAUCUCAAACUUGAGAAUUCAAUGCAGCUAUCACUUUUCCAAAAGCAUAACAAAUUUAGCUUUCAUUUGCUUGCUUCGGAGACUCCCCCAAUAGUGCAGCCUCGUCCAUGAUCAAUGGCAGAACAUGAGGAGAACGACUAGAUCCCAUUGCUUUGUGGGAUUAAGACUUUGCAAUUCUUCUGUUACAUAGGAAUCAAUGAAACCAACCCCAACGUACAAUGAUGACCAAAGACACUCCCAUGCCAAAAGGGGAACCAAGCAAUAGUUUCUUCCUCAGUAAUACAAGUCAUCCGGCAAUCCUUGUUUAAAAUCCCUGUCUGUACAACUGGAGAUGGAUGCCAGAAGCUAGAAAUGGCUGAACCACUUCUGGUGGAAAUUUCAGCACUCAAGUUGCAGGCCUGCCUCUGUCACUGAAUUCUACCAGAUUUGAAGCUUCCACGGGUCAGGGCUAUGUGUAUGCCUGGCUCAGAACCUGCUACAGAACCUGGUGCAGAAGGAACUAUACUAAUGCUUAUUGGAAUGAACUGAGCUGAUGGUCUAACAACAACAACAUGUCCCUAGGGCACUGAAUUCUGAAAUCCUCAAACCCCCAUUAAAGGUAUCUGUGGAAACUGUAAGGGAACUGCAUAUGCAAAAGGGACCUCUCCACACAAGGUCUGUGGCAUCAAAACUGCAGUCAAAAUCCAGAAUCUGAUGGCACACAGCAGUAGCAGCAGUAAACACGGCUGAGCCUGGAUGGAUGCCAUCAUCUCAUUCCCAUGGAAUCUGAUUAUUACAUUUUUGUUUUGAGCCCCAAGUUUCAGGGUAUGAAAGUAUUACCAUACUAUUUCUUAAGAUAUUUACAAAGAGCUAAGGAAUUUUUCCUGUUUCCGUGAAUUUUAUUAUAAUGCUGACAUUUAUAUUGAAAUCACAGGAGGACAAGAAGUACUUUUGAAAAAUUAUUUUCACCAGACUCUUUAUUGUAUUUCCCAAAAUGGCCAGCAUUGAGUAAUGGGUUGUAUCGUAAUGUGUGUGUGGCUGGAUACCAGAUACCAAGGUCCUCAAAAACCCUACAGCAUUUUCUCUCUUCAUGAAAUAAAAUGGGACAUAACAUACGGUUGAGCAAAACAUAAACUACAAAAACCAUUAAUAUGGUAACUAAAUUGAAUGUAAGCCUGAAAUUUAUUACCUGAGUGAGUUUGUGGGGUGAUACCACCACAAUCUUGUUUCAAGGGUAAACAAGAUCAACUUAGAUGGUCCUUUAGAAUGACAGCCAUUGGAUAGGGCUGCAGAUGCCUUUAUUGGGGUAUCUUAAGUAUUGCAUAAAUUCUAAUGGAUGUAUCAGCUUUUUCUUCAGGCCGUGCCAGCCUGUGUGCCCAAAAAAAUAAAUAAAUAAAGUAAAGAUAAAAGUAAAACCAGUCAUUCCAUAGCUCAUCCCUCACCAGCUACUAGAAUGCUAUCUCUGGUGAGUCCUCCUUUAGAUUGAAGGGCUGGACAUGGAGGGUGGGAAGGCGACAACUUAAGAGUGUAUGGUCCCUGAUGUGUCAUGUCACCUCUGGUACCAUCUGAUACCACAGUCACACCAAGAAGGUGUCUAACUGCUCCCAAGUAAAAGCUGAGUACCCAGUGCAACUUGACAAAAGAUGCUUUCCUCCAGCAUCCUUCCAAACCUGUGACUAUACAGCAGCUCUGCAGAGCCACCGUGGCUGACUUUUUAAAACCUAGGUGGUAGAUUAUUCCUGCAUUGCAUCCAAGUUUUUCAUGUGCCUGCUUUACUCCCUCCAGCAGCCUCCUCCCACACUGACUCUGAGAGUGGUCAUGUGACUUCCUUUGGCCAUGGAAACAACAGCAGACAUUCAAAAUGUGGAAACGUUAAAAGUACUUGCACACUGGGGUUUGUUCUCUCUCUUCUAGUUCUUGGAACUCUUCUCCCACCACAAGAAUAAACCCAGAUUAGCACCCUAGAAAAUGAAAGACCAAAUGAAUCAUCCCCGCAGAACAUCCCAUCAGACCAACAAGCCCCAGCAGAUCUGGCAGCUGACUUUAUACAUAACCCAGCCAGGAUCAAAAGAAGAAUCACAGAGCUGAGCCCAGCCCGUUCUGCCAAUUUACAGAAUCAUGAGCUAAAUAAAUGGUUGAGGGUUUAAGUCACUGGAUAUCAGGGUAGACUGUUAAAGCUAACUUAUAUAGCCUUUUACAAAGAUGUAAAAAAAUAAAAUACAUUCAUGGAAUGGGUGGUAAAAGAGUUAAGAGUAUGCAGAAAGCAAAACCCUAGACUUCAUACAAGAGACUAUGAACCCUUCAAGAGGCAUAAGACCUAAUACUUGGUUAUCAUCUCCUUGGUAUAAUUUCAUGAGGUUGUUAUAAAGCCCAUUUGUUACAAAUAUCUCUCUCUCCAGUGAACCUCCUGUCUACAUGAAAACUUGCUGAAAUUCCCAAGUAGUGUCCUGUAAAGGGGACAGGGCCAUGUAAUAGUUAAGAGCUCUGGAAUCAGACACUAAAAUCAACACUAUAUUCCUCUUCAGUUUCAUCCUUUGCGAAUCAGGGAGAUAAGAGCACCUGCUUCAUAGAGCUGUUGUUGUAAAGAUUAAAUAAUGCCUAUUCAGUGUUUGGUGCAAUGCCCAACACAUAUCAGUGCUCAAAAAAUUAGCUUGUCUUAUUAGGUUGAGAGUCAAUCCAAAUAAUUAGCAACCAUCUAUUACUUAUCACAGGAUAGGCAUUACCCUUAAUGCCUCUAUGUACACUACCCCAUUUAAUCUUCUUAAUAUCAUUGUGAAGUGGCUAUUAUGCUCCCAUCUUAGAGAUGAGGAAACCCAGGCACAGAGGGAUUAAGUAGCUUGCCUGGUGUUGCACAACUGGGAGGUGGCAGCCACUGACCCCAAUCCUCAUGCUGUCUCCCAGCCCAUCUUCGCUUCAUAGUUAAGAGCUAAGUUCUAGUCUGUGUGCACUGGGAAUUCAAGUCUCACUCUUUGAGACAGCAAUUACAAAGCCUUUCCAAAAUAUGGUUCCACACUGCGUUUUUAUCAUUUUAAUAGGCCUUCAGUACUUUGUACUGGGCACUGCCUGGAAUAUUUUCCCCACAAUCCUCUCCCACCUCUUAUUUAAAAUAAUUCUUAUCAUUUUAGGUGUAGUUCCAAAACAACAUUCUGGUAAAAUGUUCUUAGAUUUUCCUAGUGGAUAAAGGUGUGAGCCCUGGAGUCAGACUAGCUCUUCUGGAAUCCCAGCUUCUACUACUGCCAGCUACUAAUUGUGUGAAUCUGGGCAAGACACAACUUCUCUACAUCUUGGUUUCCUCAUCUUCAAAAUGUAAGAAAUGAUGCCAUUUCACAGAUAUGGAUGGAUAAAUAGAUGGAUAGAUAGACAGGCAGCUAGCCAAGCACAGUGAUUGCCUUAAUCCAACCAUGAGUUCUUACUCUAGGCAUUUAAGCUCCCUGAUGGAAAUUCAGUUUGUUCAGUCAUAGUUCAAACUUUAAUGUGUUGGACCACAUUGAUAAUUUUCAAUGACUGUUGUUCAGUGUUUUACAAUGACUCUCUUUUUUCAAAUAAAUUCAUACGUGGAUACUAAAACAUGAAACAGAUUACCUGCAGAGUGGCUGUGGUUGAAAAGGGCUGUGAAAGGCAGAUCUUAGCCUCCUUCCCCCAAGACUUCUCGGGCACCUCUGAGAACACCUGGAGAACACUUUGAGCCCCCAGCUGGACAUGCCCUCUUGUACUUCAGACUUCUCCUUAGAGAGGAGCCAGAUUCCUGACUUCCCAUCCCCCAGGUGAAUCUUACUCCCAAAACUAACCUGUAAAACAUGAAGAAAGAUAUUUCUGAAGGGCAAAAUCAGUCCUCAAAUCCCCAGAAAAUUCUGCAGGGAAAAAGGAUGAGUAAUGUUCAAUCGACAGCCCUAACAUAGAAUGAUUCUGGUGGUGUAACUGUGGCUUUAUGAAUUCAGCCCUCUUGAAUUGUUCUCUCAAUUGUAAGACGUGGAGACAUUUGGUUCCUGUUAGCUAACCAUGAGCCUAAAAUCUUGCAGCUGCCAACUAGUUUUAGGUAUCAGUAAGAAUUGACAAAGAUUUGUAGUAAUGAGGAUAUAGGAGCUACCUGAAAAUUUCAAAAAUCUCAAAUGUCAAUGUUCAGUCUGGGACACCAAAAUCCUUCGCAACUGAUAGGAAUGACAUCAGUGGAAGAACUUAAGCUCAUCAGAACUCUAAUUGGCAGAUGUAUAUGUCUUUGUUGAAUAAACAAAUUAUUCCUUCAUAAAAUCAAGUUGUUUCAUACAUCAAACCUCUUUAAACAUAGCAUCUGUUGAGAAAUCACAAUAGAAAAUGUUUAUCAAGUGCUCACUUUGUACCAGGUGAUUUCUAUUCCUACCUCAUCAAGCCUGCGAAGCAAGCAUUAAUGUCUUUGCAAAUGAAGAAACCAAGUCAGGAAGGCUAAAUUGUUUUUGUAUGGUCCUACAGCAAGCAAAUAAUGGCACAAGACUUAAAACUGUUGCCUCUUUCAUUCUUCACAUUUCACACCUUACUCUGCACUGGAACGCUUCUCUGCUGAUGAAAAGACUGCUGUCUAAUUCCCCAGCCUCCAAGAGUGACCAUUGAAUGAAUUCUUUAAUAAUAUGACUUCUUUCAGGGUAUUUCUUGCAAUGCAUAGAAAUCACCCGGACAGGUGUUAAAAUGCAGAUAAAGCCAUGAGAUUCUGAUUCAGUGGGGCCUGGAGUGAGGCCUGGGAAUGCCCAUUGGAACUAGCA